RNAcentral lists this ribosomal RNA (485 nucleotides) under uncultured bacterium. RNAcentral's name for it is "partial 16S ribosomal RNA". It matches the Rfam family "Bacterial small subunit ribosomal RNA", at positions 28 to 523 of the family's 1533-position model. The record is from RNAcentral.
GACGAACGCUGGCGGCGUGCCUAACACAUGCAAGUCGAACGAGGUCAUGCAGUGGCAACACUGCGGACGACCUAGUGGCGAACGGGUGAGUAACACGUGAGGAACUUGCCCCGGAGACUGGGAUAAGCCCCCGAAAGGGGGUCUAAUACCGGAUGUCCUCACCGAGUCGCAUGGCUUGGUGAGGAAAUGGAUUCCGCUCCGGGAGAGCCUCGCGGCCUGUCAGCUUGUUGGUGGGGUAACGGCCCACCAAGGCAUCGACGGGUAGCUGGUCUGAGAGGACGAUCGGCCGCACUGGGACUGAGACACGGCCCAGACUCCGUCGGGAGGCAGCAGUGGGGAAUCUUGCGCAAUGGGCGAAAGCCUGACGCAGCAACGCCGCGUGCGGGAUGAAGGCCCUCGGGUUGUAAACCGCUUUCAGUGGGGACGAACCAAGACGGUACCCACAGAAGAAGGUCCGGCCAACUACGUGCCAGCCGCCACGGUAA